AGAGAUAGGUUCUGAAACGCCAAACCGUUGCCCAUUUUGCUGGACACUAGCCAUCUAUCCUACUUACUUUGCUCUUUUCCUCUCUUUUUUCUCUUUUUUCUUAAUAUUUCAAUCAGAUUCUACGAAAAUAAAAAUAAUUGAUCUCCGCGUGCUUGUUAUUUGGUUUCUCCGCGUGA
This 176-nucleotide small RNA is filed under the name Arabidopsis thaliana (thale cress). RNAcentral describes it as "ATSL012190". The record is from RNAcentral. Lineage: Eukaryota; Viridiplantae; Streptophyta; Magnoliopsida; Brassicales; Brassicaceae.